Molecule: unclassified non-coding RNA, 612 nt
Filed under: Homo sapiens (human)
Lineage: Eukaryota; Metazoa; Chordata; Mammalia; Primates; Hominidae
Description: BAG cochaperone 6 (multiple genes)
Source: RNAcentral
GUUUGGCUGUGGGUUAGUUGUGCCGUUCUGCUGGAACACCGUGGGAAGGCAGUAGACGCGGGCAGUCAGCUAGCAGAGACCUGUCGGCCAUGGAGCCUAAUGAUAGUACCAGUACCGCUGUGGAGGAGCCUGACAGCUUGGAGGUGUUGGUGAAGACCUUGGACUCUCAAACUCGUACCUUUAUUGUGGGGGCCCAGAUGAAUGUAAAAGAGUUUAAGGAGCACAUUGCUGCCUCUGUCAGCAUCCCAUCUGAAAAACAACGGCUCAUUUACCAGGGACGAGUUCUGCAAGAUGAUAAGAAGCUUCAGGAAUACAGUGUGUGUCUAUUUUUCUGCAGAUGUUGGGGGAAAGGUUAUCCACCUGGUGGAACGGGCUCCUCCUCAGACUCACCUCCCUUCUGGGGCAUCUUCUGGGACGGGGUCUGCCUCAGCCACUCAUGGUGGGGGAUCCCCCCCUGGUACUCGGGGGCCUGGGGCCUCUGUUCAUGACCGGAAUGCCAACAGCUAUGUCAUGGUUGGAACCUUCAAUCUUCCUAGUGACGGCUCUGCUGUGGAUGUUCACAUCAACAUGGAACAGGCCCCGAUUCAGAGUGAGCCCCGGGUACGGCUGGUG